GGGCUCCAAACCUCCGCUGCUGCAGACCUGGGGAGUGGUGGGCUCUGUAGAGCAGAGAAACUGUUCCCAUGGAGCUGGGCUGCCUCGGAGCUGCCUGGUCACACCCAGCCAAGGCCAAGCCUGGGCUGUUAGCCGGCGACCCGGGCAGCUGCCAACCACUGCUGGGCGCAGGCAGGCAGGGCCAUUUGUCACAGCUCUGGGACCCGGGGCCCACCGUCCAUCGUCUGUCUGUCAUGUGCAGCCACAGCUGAACUGCCCUCCUGGACCAUCUGGAGGCCACCAAGGACUGGGGAAGGACACACAAUGUGCCAGAGAGGAGUGAGGGUGAGGGGUGGAGCGGCAGUGACAGUAGCUGAAGGCCAGCUGCCCUCAGAGGAGACCCUCCCACUGCACCUGCUCCUGCCCUGGGUCUCUCCACCAAACCCUGGGGCAGACCUGGGUGCCCCACAGUGUUCUGGGUGCUUCCGUGCUCUGAGAAGUGUCAGGCCGGCAGGGAGAGCCUGCCACCCAGAGGGUGGCCGACAGUAGUCACUGUGUGGUGAAAGGAAACCCAGAGGCCAUGGAACCCCCAGAGGGGAAUCUGGCCCAACCUGGAGGAGCACGCAUCCUCUCAGAGGUGGUGACAAGCUGAAUUUUCACACAAGGGAAAACGGGAAGGGUGGUCCAGGUAGAGGCCCUGGCCUGUCGCCCGUGGUCUGUGUCCAGGCACCCCAGGUCUGCCCAGGGCUUUGCUACACACAGUAGGUGCUCACUGAGCAUGUGUUGAAACCAGCAAAAGAUUCGUCCAUAUAUGGAGGUGGAAUCUGGCCAGGGCAGAGGCAGCUUGGGCCAGCCCACUGCAGGAGGCUAGUGCUGGCAGAGCUCUUUGAAGGUUGCAGAGGCCACAAACAGGUAGAAAGGGUGACCGUCUCCCAGCGCACAGCAGAGCCCACGGGCUCAGAGCCACCUGCCAGCGGAAUUCCCAGGGAUCUGCUCUCAGUGGCUCCCCCAGCCCCGCCCCGGGCCUGGGCAAAUGUUCCCAGCCCGUCCACUCCCUGCUUCCCAGGGGCCGGACUGCCCUGUCCCUGGCCUUGUGUGUCUCAUUCACGGGCGUCCGGCCAGCCACCCUGGGACCUGCCAACCCUGUGAUUCAGGAGCUGUGGUGGGGGGUUGGGGGGGGGUGGGUGACCCUCUUUGCUGCCGGCCGAUGAGGGCUGCUCCGGGCUGUUCACUGAGCCUGGUGGGUGCCAGACAGACUGGGACCAGGGCUGCAGGCCAAGGCGUGGGAGACUUUGGUGGCUCCAGGCAGCUACAUGGGGUGGAGAGCAAGGCUGGUCCCCAAGCAGGACCUGUGCUGCCACCUCGCCGCUUCUCAACCAGGGGCCGGCCAAGGGGCAAAAGCACCGAGCUCAGGCUGCACUACUCCCGGCCCUCUGUCUGCGGCAGCUGGGAGUCUCCUAUGCAUCCUUCAAGGCCCAUCCCAGAAGGCCCCUACCUGAGGGAGUCCUUUGGCAUCUGCAGCAUAUCCCCCCUCCCCCCAAGACCACUGCACAGGGCCGGCAUUUAUAACUGGGCCUCCCCGACCAGACUGUGAGCCCUUUCGGGUCUCUGGUCCAUCCAUCUCCACCCACCAUACCCUCCCCAGGGCUCUGAUCUGUUGAAUGAAUAAGUGACCGCCUGGGUGUCCUAGGCCCUGAGAAAGGACCCUGGGAAGAUGGAGGGGUGGGGGGUGGGGGCCGCAGGCCUAGCGGGAGAGAAGGAGCUGAAGAGAGACAGCAGCCAGAGGAGGAAAAGAGGAAGUGGAGGGGCCAGAGGAAGAGGGAGGAGACCUCCGGAGAGGAAGUGAACAGGUUCUUUGCCCUUGCAGGGAGUUUUCAGAGCUGUCACCGGGGCAGGCACACAGCCCCCGGGGCCCUUAGCCGGCUCAGCCAAUGGGGACUUCACUUGCCUUUCUGGUGCUUUUUUUUUUUCCUCUUGCGGUUCCCCUCCCUGAGAGGCCUCCAGGCCAGGCGACCUUUACAGCCCAUAGCAAAGGACCACUCCCCACCUUCCUCCAGAACUGGCCACCCGGCCGCCUUGCUCUGGGUGUUCGGACCCCACUGCUGCCCUGACCCGCGGGGAAACCAAGCUCCAUUUUUCAGAGGAAGAAACUGAGGCAGGACAGAGAAGGGGAGACCUUAGGAAGACCUUAGACUGUUGGCUCCAGGAGGGCAGAGCCCCUGCGCACUGUGGGUCCUCACUGAGGAGCAACUGAUGGGCAGCAUUCUAGCAAAUACGCCUCUUGCUACAGAUGAGGAAACUGAGGCCAGACUGGAAAAGGGCUUGGAGUCCGGUGUGAGGGAUUCCAGGUGUAGGGCCUGGAGGCCUCUCACUGCCUCUGCAGUGUCCCCUGCAGUGUCCUCAGGGACUGGGACCAAAGGCUGUUCCAAAGUCUAAAUUCUUGGGUCCCACCUCUGUCCUCAGUGCUUAUCUCCUGAGGCCCAGAGAAGACAGCCACUAGCCCUUGGUUACACAACAGGGGGUCCUCAGCCCCAGGCCUGCACGCUGUCACCACCUCUUUCCCCUGCCCUCGUCCCCUGCUCCCAGGAUGGUCUCAAGAGGCAAUUCUGGACUUCUGGAUUCCUAAGGUCCUGGGAGGGACUGGGCUUGGGGUGCCUCUGCCUCCAGGGCCAGCUCUGGGCUGCCACCUCCAGGAAGUCGGCUAUGACUUCCUCCCUCCUCUACCAUAACAGCAGUAAGCUUUCCUGCCCAGAGAGGGGAACUGACCCAGUCAGGAUUACACAGCAAGAGCACAGGCAGCAGCUCAACAUCCUGGAUCACACUGCUCCUGCAUUCCACACACCAGCACCGACCAGCCAGACGUGCUUCCAGAGAAGAAGAGCACCAGACAACACACUGAAUAAAGCAGGGCACCCAGAGAAACGCCACCCUCCUGGGGAGUUCCCAGCCUUGCUUAUUUGAUUGAAUUUUUCAGAAAUAGACGCUCACCUACCUCAGGGCGAAGCCCGCAUCCGCAGCGCAUCAGCGACAGGACAGGGAAGGCAGAGUCCCCAAGGGCCCGCGGAAGCAGAGCCAGACCCACCUGCGCACACAGAACGCUCACCGCGCCCCUGCCGGCCAAGCAGGAAUCUCCCCAUUUCUCAGAGGAGCCAGCUGAGAUCAGUGAGAGCGAGAAUCAAUUAAUUACUGAUUACCGGAACCCAGGAGUCUGGGCUGGAGCAGCGCAAAGGCCCACAGCCAGUCUCGAGGGGGCACCCUGAGUCCCUGAGCCUCCAGGGGGCUGCUGUUCUCAGGUCAGACUUGAGCCUUGUUCUCCGGAAGUCUCCAGGGAAAACAACUGUUUGAUAUCCUGAACGUGUGAGGAGCUGAACUGGAGGAAGAGCAACCCAGCCCAAGGAUCAAGCAAGGCUUUCCACAGGAGGGGUCUUUUUGGCUGGGCUUUGAAGUAUGAAUAGGAGUUCACAAAGGAGACAAUUUAGAGGGGGCUUGACAGAAGGUAUGUUGGGAGAACUGCAAAUAUCUGAUGUGGCUGGGAACUUUGGAAAUUGAGUCCAUAGAAACCUUAAUGGGGAGAUCUGGGCUCAACACCAUUUUUGUUCUGGCCAACACUCAGUAGAGUACAUGGAGGCCCCAUCUGAGAAAGACCCCAACUGGGUGAGCAGGGUUGGGGUGGGCAUGGGGUUGGUGGAGCCCUCUUAGCACAGCUCAGUGGGGGCUGUGAGUCCUUACCCCUUGGAAGGAAUGUACUGGGCCUUGAAUUCAGGUCCCAUUGUACAGGUGGGGAGACUGAGGUAGGCAGGGUCAGAGCUAGGCUCGAAUAGCUGGGUUAAGCUUGGGUUCUGGAGCCCAUAAGGGCAAGAAACAGGCCCUCCUGGAAGUUGGACACCCUGCAGACGCAAGUUUACGGGGCCAGCCUCUGGGGUCCAGCGCUGGGGGUACCAUGACACUCACCAAAGAACUGGCUGGAAACAAGGAACUAGAACUCUGCAACAGGUGACAGCUGCAGGGCCUCUGUGCUGCCCUCCCCCAAAGCUGUCAGGUGCCCCUUCCUCUCCUAGUCAGCCUCAGCCUUGGCCCAGAGAAGGAAAGCAAGAUGCAGGGCCACACAGCAAGAACGCAGCCUUGGAACUCAGCCAGGAGGUGGGAAAGUGCUUCCCAGGUCUGGAGAUUUGCUGGCGCCCAGGAUGCCUGGGGUGGGUGUGUUCUCAGAGGACUGGCGUGGACUCAGGAGCUGGGACUUUGUCCGCAAUGGUAAUGGGGAGCUAUAGAGGGUGGGGGAGCGGGAGAGGGGAGGGCCAUGUCUGAUGUUUCAGCAGAUGGCUCUCCAUUAUGAAAGGGCCCAGGAGGCUCCAAAACUAACUCUGUAGCCUCAGAUUUCAGAUUUCUGUCUGUCUCUGGCCAAGUAGGAGUUUGUAUUAGAAAUACUAGC
Long non-coding RNA from Aethalodelphis obliquidens (Pacific white-sided dolphin), 4408 nucleotides. RefSeq lists it as uncharacterized. The record is from RefSeq and is a predicted model, not a curated record. The transcript has 4 exons. Lineage: Eukaryota; Metazoa; Chordata; Mammalia; Artiodactyla; Delphinidae.